This 490-nucleotide ribosomal RNA is filed under the name uncultured bacterium. RNAcentral describes it as "partial 16S ribosomal RNA". It matches the Rfam family "Bacterial small subunit ribosomal RNA", at positions 30 to 507 of the family's 1533-position model. The record is from RNAcentral.
AUUGAACGCUGGCGGCAGGCCUAACACAUGCAAGUCGAACGGUAACAGGAAGCAGCUUGCUGCUUCGCUGACGAGUGGCGGACGGGUGAGUAAUGUCUGGGAAGCUGCCUGAUGGAGGGGGAUAACUACUGGAAACGGUAGCUAAUACCGCAUAAUGUCGCAAGACCAAAGAGGGGGACCUUCGGGCCUCUUGCCAUCGGAUGUGCCUAGAUGGGAUUAGCUUGUUGGUGGGGUAACGGCUCACCAAGGCGACGAUCCCUAGCUGGUCUGAGAGGAUGACCAGCCACACUGGAACUGAGACACGGUCCAGACUCCUACGGGAGGCAGCAGUGGGGAAUAUUGCACGAUGGGCGCAAGCCUGAUGCAGCCAUGCCGCGUGUAUGAAGAAGGCCUUCGGGUUGUAAAGUACUUUCAGCGGGGAGGAAGGGAGUAAAGUUAAUACCUUUGCUCAUUGACGUUACCCGCAGAAGAAGCACCGGCUAACUCCGUG